Ictalurus punctatus (channel catfish) is the source of this 1103-nucleotide long non-coding RNA. The record is from Ensembl. Lineage: Eukaryota; Metazoa; Chordata; Actinopteri; Siluriformes; Ictaluridae.
CUGCCGUCCGUUGGUAUCGUUUGUAAAGAAAGUACCGGGGUUGCGAUUCUUCCGAACCUGAAGGGUGCAGGAAAUAUGCGGGAGUGUUUUAGUCGGUCCACAAGUGAUAAAGAAGAAGAACUACGCACACGGGGGAAAACUGCAAAAGAUGCUAUGGCGACAAGUUCAGCUCCUCCCCGACUCGUCGAGAGAGAAAAAGGCAAGCGUCGAAUAUGGAAAUACUUCGCAUUCGAGGCGGAUAAAAACAGACAUAUAAUUGAUUCUCUGAAGCCGGUGUGCAAACGAUACCAUCGUUCACUUCAAACAAAGGGAGGAAACACCUCGAAUUUGGCGAAGCACCUGAAAGACAGGCACCCCGAUCUCUUCAAAGAAUUCAAGAUGAUAUCAGCCAGAGGAGGAUGUCCACCAGGAGAGUCAGGAGCAAAGUCAGCAAACAUUAACACAGCCAACCUUAAGAGUAGCUUAUAAAAGGCACAGAAAACAUGACAAAAACGCAACGAAGAAAGGAAACUGGACAGGGCAGUUUCUGAAUUUAUAUUCAUGGAUCAAGUUCCUGUCUACACUGUAGAAAAGCAUGGAUUCCAGCAAAUGCUUCAGCAGUUCAACCCCAGAUACCAGCUACCAAGCAGAAAUUACUUCAUGUAUACAGAGUUCCCCAAACUAUACACCGAAACCAGAGACCUCAUUUCAGAACCUCUCAAAGAAAAAACAUUUUAUGCCUACAUAUUGUAAGGGAAUUAGCCCGGGGAAGGGCGGAGCACAGACCCACAAGAGACAGGUUUUAGUCAAUACGGGGGUUUUAUUUGUGAGUGUGAGGGGUUUUGUGGGGGUGUGGCUGGCAUGGUGACGUUCUCGAGGGCGUGUCGGGGCUCGCAAGAGGUGUGUGUGGGUUUCCCGUGCCGUCAUCCACCGUUGAACGCGAUCUCACCAUCCGGCGGUCUUGUCCGCAAUCGAACGUAGUCUGUCUCUUAGCCGUUCUCCUCGCAGGGGCAGAAGAGCGUCCUUUUAUACUCUUCCGCCGUUGCCUGCGUGGUGGAAUUUUCCCGACGGAUUCCCCAAUCGCCGGCCGGUGUAGCGUCGACGGUCCCGCCCCACCGUGACGG